UGGGGAAUAUUGCACAAUGGGGGAAACCCUGAUGCAGCGACGCCGCGUGAACGAAGAAGGUAUUCGUAUCGUAAAGUUCUGUCCUAUGGGAAGAUAAUGACAGUACCAUAGAAGAAAGCUCCGGCUAAAUACGUGCCAGCAGCCGCGGUAAUACGUAUGGAGCGAGCGUUGCCCGGAAUUAUUGGGCGUAAAGGGUACGCAGGCGGUUUAAUAAGUCGAAUGUUAAAGAUAGGGGCUCAACCCCGCAAAGCAUUGGAAACUGAUAAACUUGAGUACUGGAGAGGAAAGUGGAAUUCCUAGUGUAGUGGUGAAAUGCGUAGAUAUUAGGAGGAAUACCAGUAGCGAAGGCGACUUUCUGGACACAAACUGACGCUGAGGUACGAAAGCGUGGGGAGCAAACAGG
RNAcentral lists this ribosomal RNA (403 nucleotides) under bacterium. RNAcentral describes it as "partial 16S ribosomal RNA". It matches the Rfam family "Bacterial small subunit ribosomal RNA", at positions 355 to 776 of the family's 1533-position model. The record is from RNAcentral.